GGUUAAGUUAGAAAGGGCGCACGGUGGAUGCCUUGGCACUAGGAGCCGAAGAAGGACGGGACUAACACCGAUAUGCUUUGGGGAGCUGUACGUAAGCGUUGAUCCAGAGAUUUCCGAAUGGGGGAACCCACUAUCUUUAGUCGGAUAGUAUCCUUACGUGAAUACAUAGCGUGAGGAAGGCAGACCCAGGGAACUGAAACAUCUAAGUACCUGGAGGAAGAGAAAGAAAAAUCGAUUUCCUGAGUAGCGGCGAGCGAAACGGAAAGAGCCCAAACCAAGAAGCUUGCUUCUUGGGGUUGUAGGACACUCUAUACGGAGUUACAAAAGAAAGUUAUAAAUGAAGCGGUCUGGAAAGGCCCGCCAAAGACGGUAACAGCCCGGUAGUUGAAAUGGCUUUCCCUCCAGAGUGGAUCCUGAGUACGGCGGAACACGUGAAAUUCCGUCGGAAUCCGGGAGGACCAUCUCCCAAGGCUAAAUACUCCCUAGUGACCGAUAGUGAACCAGUACCGUGAGGGAAAGGUGAAAAGCACCCCGGAAGGGGAGUGAAACAGUUCCUGAAACCGUGUGCCUACAAGUAGUUAGAGCCCGUUAAUGGGUGAUAGCGUGCCUUUUGUAGAAUGAACCGGCGAGUUACGAUUUGUUGCAAGGUUAAGCGGAAAAAGCGGAGCCGUAGCGAAAGCGAGUCUGAAUAGGGCGCAUAAGUAACAGGUCGUAGACCCGAAACCAGGUGAUCUACCCAUGUCCAGGAUGAAGGUAAGGUAAUACUUACUGGAGGUCCGAACCCACGCACGUUGAAAAGUGCGGGGAUGAGGUGUGGGUAGCGGAGAAAUUCCAAUCGAACUUGGAGAUAGCUGGUUCUCUCCGAAAUAGCUUUAGGGCUAGCCUCGAGGUAAAGAGUCAUGGAGGUAGAGCACUGUUUGGACUAGGGGCCCUUCUCGGGUUACCGAAUUCAGAUAAACUCCGAAUGCCAUGUACUUAUACUCGGGAGUCAGACUGCGAGUGAUAAGAUCCGUAGUCGAAAGGGAAACAGCCCAGACCACCAGUUAAGGUCCCCAAAUAUAUGUUAAGUGGAAAAGGAUGUGGGGUUGCUUAGACA
This 1096-nucleotide ribosomal RNA is filed under the name Listeria monocytogenes. RNAcentral's name for it is "partial 23S ribosomal RNA". It matches the Rfam family "Bacterial large subunit ribosomal RNA", at positions 1 to 1091 of the family's 2925-position model. The record is from RNAcentral. Lineage: Bacteria; Bacillati; Bacillota; Bacilli; Caryophanales; Listeriaceae.